GGGGAGGGAUAGGCCCCACCUGCCUGAAAAUCAGGGGGGCGGGGCAUGUUUAGUUGGUUAGGAAGUAGCGUGUAGAAGCCCGUGAAAUCUCGUACGUCUAGCAUUUUUGUAAUAGAUUCGAUCGUUUUUGCAAAAAAAAAAAAAGGAAGGGCCAGUUCACAACGGAGGACAAUUGCUGCGAAUUCAAUUCAAAUGCCACAGGAACCGUUGGCAGGAGCAAAAGAAAAGCGUUGCCGUUGCGAUCGAGCGACCCACGAACA
RNAcentral lists this long non-coding RNA (260 nucleotides) under Hordeum vulgare. Its description in RNAcentral is "long non-coding RNA (HVUL_LNC016909)". The record is from RNAcentral. Lineage: Eukaryota; Viridiplantae; Streptophyta; Magnoliopsida; Poales; Poaceae.